Molecule: small RNA, 103 nt
Filed under: unclassified sequences
Description: dinG RNA
Rfam family: dinG RNA
Source: Rfam by way of RNAcentral
AACGAUACUUCUGUCAAGUCCUAAGUAUCCUAUGGAUGGCAGCCUGGCAAGAUGAUCAGGAGAAUACACCUUUGCCUGGAAGCCGAUGGCAUGGGUUGAUUCU